RNAcentral lists this unclassified non-coding RNA (251 nucleotides) under plant metagenome. Its description in RNAcentral is "partial contains small subunit ribosomal RNA, internal transcribed spacer 1, and 5.8S ribosomal RNA". The stretch from base 1 to 54 matches the Rfam family "Eukaryotic small subunit ribosomal RNA", at positions 1778 to 1831 of the family's 1831-position model. The record is from RNAcentral.
GGGAGUAAAAGUCGUAACAAGGUCUCCGUAGGUGAACCUACGGAGGGAUCAUUACAGAGUUCAUGCCCUACCGGGUAGAUCUCCCACCCUAUGUUAUUAUUACUUUGUUGCUUUGGCGGGCCGUUAGGCUCCGGCCCGACUACCGGCCCCGGCUGGUAAGCGCCCGCCAGAGGACCCAAAACCCUGAAUAUUAGUGUCGUCUGAGUACUAUAUAAUAGUUAAAACUUUCAACAACGGAUCUCUUGGUUCUG